This 72-nucleotide transfer RNA is filed under the name Bos taurus (domestic cattle). RNAcentral describes it as "tRNA-Ala (AGC) (tRNA-Ala-AGC-17-1)". It matches the Rfam family "tRNA". Rfam says of the family: Transfer RNA (tRNA) molecules are approximately 80 nucleotides in length. Lineage: Eukaryota; Metazoa; Chordata; Mammalia; Artiodactyla; Bovidae. The record is from RNAcentral.
UCCCUGGCAGUCCAGUGGUUAGGACUUGGCACCAGCACUGCCAGGGCCCAGGUUCGAUCCUUGGUUGGGGAA